GAGACCAUGCAGAACUCCUGUGUGCUGGAAUGAAGUGGGAGAGCGGAAGUUAGUAGGUCCUGAGUUGGUUCAGAUUACGACAAACAAUAUUAAGUUGAUCAGAGAAAAUCUGAGGAAAGCCCAAGAUCGACAGAAAAGUUAUGCGGAUAAGCGACGAAGAAACCUAGAAUUCCAAGUUGGAGAUCAAGUUUUCUUGAAAUUAUCUCCAUGGCGAGGUGUUAUUCGUUUCGGAAGAAAAGGUAAGUUAAGUCCUAGAUAUAUUGGGCCAUAUCAGACAACAGAACGAGUGGGACCAGCAGCGUAUAGACUUGAGUUGCCAAUAGAACUUGCACGAAUACAUGAUGUUUUCCAUGUAUCCAUGUUAAGAAAAUAUAUACCAGAUCCAUCGCAUGUGUUGCAAGAUCAACCAGUUGAAUUAAAAGAAGAUUUGAGUUAUGUUGAAGAACCAGUUCAGAUUCUCGACAGAAAGGAACAAGUUUUGAGAAACAAAACGAUUCCACUCAUAAAGGUUUUGUGGAGACAUCAUGGAGCGGAGGAGGCAACUUGAGAACCAGAAUAUCAGAUGAAGAAGAGCUAUCCGAUACUUUUCAGUUAAGGACAUUCUAAAUUUCGAGGACGAAAUUUUCUAAAGGGAAGGUAAGUUGUAAACCUGAUAUUUUCUUGGUUUAAUUUCUUUAAAUGUGGAAAAAAAAAAGAAAAAGAAAAUGGAAAUUAAGUGUAAAUAUAAAUAUAUAUAUUUAUAUAUUAAAUAGUUUUAUUAAAUUAAUUAAAGAAAAGAAAGAAAAGAAAGGACAAAAAGAAGAAAAGGAGAAGAAAAUUUCAUUUUCUCUUUUCUUCUUCUUCUUCUCUUCCCUUCACCGCCAAGUUUGAAGACAUCCAAGUUCCCUUUAUUUUUUUUUUCUUUUUCCUUCUUCAAUUUGCAGAGAACUUCUAAGAGAGAUUUUGGAAGAAGAAGAGAAAUUUUACUAGAAUUUUUAGGUUGAAGAAGAGGAGGAGAACUCAAGCAAAGUGUAUCAAUGGCUGAAUUUUAGUUCAUUCUGCACAUCACUGGUUUUUAAUUCGGUUUGAACUCUUCAAAAGGAAUUAAGAGGUGAGAUUUACAUUUACUGAAAGUUAACUCAUUUUUAAACAAACUUUAUGAAGAACGUUGGAGCAAAUUCGGAUAUUCAUUUGGUGCUUUUUGAUGAAGAAAACAGGGCAGUUGGUUUUCACUCGAAAUCAGGAGGUCUCUGGUUUUUCUUGUAUUUCAGAGUGUAUCGGUGGAGUUAGAAUCUCUAUUUGGUAUGGUUGGAAAGCUUAUUCAAUUUACUACAACUUUCAUGAAGAAAUUGUAAACCAAAAACGACUAAAAAUUGGAUAAAUUGUAGGAACAAGUUAAAGAGGUCGUGUGCGCGCGAUUCUGGAAGUGGUUCUGUUUUGAGGGUUAUAUGUGUUUAUGCACGGGGAAUCAGAUUUAUAUGUCUUCAGGUAAGUUUUAGAGGAUCUCAAAAUGAAGAGUUUGAUAUAAAGAACACUCAUUUUGGUUAAGUAUUGAGAAAGUUAUAGUCCUUUGAAGUUUAUGUUAGAAAUCUGGAAAUUUUAGAGAAUUGUUGAAAUAGGAUUUUAUUUCUUAAGCUUUAUUUUCGUGAGCGUCAUCUUUGGUGCGACAUGUUAUGUAUAUCUUUAGGAAACCAGAAUGUUUAGGGUUUUAAUACUCGGUUGGGUUGUUGGCAGGCCGAGAAGAAUUAAACCGAGCUUAUAGACCAAGGAUCUAGCCCAAGACUGUAGAGAUCCACUUCCCGGUGCCUGAUAGACUGCCUUAGUCUGCGGAAGCUUCAUUAUCGAUUGCCAGUACGUGUUUUGAGUUAGGCAUAAAGUCUGUUGUGUUGUGAUGUAUUCACACCCUUGUAUGUUAUAGAUACUCCACAGUUUGUAUAAGCUUUAGGAGAUGUAGUUGUGUAAAUUUUGUUGGUUAUAUUUUGAUUAAGGUGUCUUUAGGUUUACUCGUGAAAUCGGUAAAUUUUGAGGUACACUUCAUGUAUGUGUUUGACUAGCUGUGUUUGACUAGCCUAGGAUCCGCUGUGUUUUGUGGCAUGUACAAUAGUUUAUAUACUAGAUUGGCAAGUUCAUCACAUGAAAGUUUUAAGCACAGUCGACAGAUACAGGUACAGAAAAACGUUGUUCGUCGGCUUCACGCCAUCUUUCGGUCUAAGGUAGCAGGUAGUCCGGGAGGGGGUGUGACAGAUCGAGCCGAUGCGUGCAAUAGCUGAACCGAACCAAGCCGAGAGCAACAAGCCGUGAGUCGAGCUACGAGCCACAAGCCGAGCCGUAAGCCGAGUUGAGCCGAGCCGCGAGCCGAGCCGUGAGCCGAGCCGCGAGUCACAAGCCGAGCCGAGCAGUAAGCUGAGUUGAGCCGAGCUGCGAGCCGAGCCGCGAGCCGAGCCGAGCCGAGUCGUGAGCCAAGCCGUGAGCCAAGGUCGAGCCGAGCCGAGCCGAGGGUGAGCCAAGCCGAGCCGAGCCACCUAAGCCAUAUUUUCCUCCCUCCACUUCGGGUCACGGUAUUAAGGAGUUGACGUUUAAGUUCUCGGGUUCCGCGGCAGGCUUGUUUGGAGAUAGCUUUCCUUUCCUUGGGUGGAUUCGUUGAGCGUGGACUCGAUCGAGGGGCAUAACCGAGUAUCAGGUAAGGGCACAGCGAGGGGCAGACCGACGAGAGGCAGGAAGGACGCGUGAAGGCCAUAUGGACGCAUCUGGUUUUCUUAUUGCUUCCGCUGAUGUAUUUUGUUAGAAUAUUUUGUUUUGUGAUUUUGAGUUGAUGACUUGAGUUUUUAUUUGAAA
Molecule: long non-coding RNA, 2814 nt
Organism: Cucumis melo (muskmelon)
Lineage: Eukaryota; Viridiplantae; Streptophyta; Magnoliopsida; Cucurbitales; Cucurbitaceae
Exons: 5
Source: RefSeq, a predicted model, not a curated record